Molecule: ribosomal RNA, 482 nt
Filed under: uncultured bacterium
Lineage: Bacteria
Description: partial 16S ribosomal RNA
Rfam family: Bacterial small subunit ribosomal RNA
Source: RNAcentral
AUUGAACGCUGGCGGCAUGCCUUACACAUGCAAGUCGAACGGUAACAGGUCUUCGGAUGCUGACGAGUGGCGAACGGGUGAGUAAUACAUCGGAACGUGCCCAGACGUGGGGGAUAACGAGGCGAAAGCUUUGCUAAUACCGCAUACGAUCUAAGAAUGAAAGCAGGGGACCGCAAGGCCUCGUGCGUUUGGAGCGGACGAUGGCAGAUUAGGUAGUUGGUGGGAUAAAAGCUUACCAAGCCGACGAUCUGUAGCUGGUCUGAGAGGACGACCAGCCACACUGGGACUGAGACACGGCCCAGACUCCUACGGGAGGCAGCAGUGGGGAAUUUUGGACAAUGGGCGAAAGCCUGAUCCAGCAAUGCCGCGUGCAGGAUGAAGGCCUUCGGGUUGUAAACUGCUUUUGUACGGAACGAAAAGGCUCUGGCUAAUACCUGGGGCACAUGACGGUACCGUAAGAAUAAGCACCGGCUAACUACGUG